Molecule: transfer RNA, 72 nt
Filed under: Thermoproteota archaeon
Lineage: Archaea; Thermoproteati; Thermoproteota
Also listed under: 1 other name
Description: tRNA-Phe
Rfam family: tRNA
About the family: Transfer RNA (tRNA) molecules are approximately 80 nucleotides in length.
Source: RNAcentral
GCCGGGGUAGCUCAGGGGGAGAGCGUCCGGCUGAAGACCGGAAGGUCGAGGGUUCAAAUCCCUCCCCCGGCA